UGGGGAAUAUUGCACAAUGGGGGGAACCCUGAUGCAGCGACGCCGCGUGAGCGAAGAAGUAUUUCGGUAUGUAAAGCUCUAUCAGCAGGGAAGAAGAAUGACGGUACCUGAGUAAGAAGCACCGGCUAAAUACGUGCCAGCAGCCGCGGUAAUACGUAUGGUGCAAGCGUUAUCCGGAUUUACUGGGUGUAAAGGGAGCGCAGGCGGCGCGUUAAGUCUGAUGUGAAAACCCGAGGCUCAACCACGGGAGUGCAUUGGAAACUGGCGUGCUGGAGUGCCGGAGAGGUAAGCGGAAUUCCUAGUGUAGCGGUGAAAUGCGUAGAUAUUAGGAGGAACACCAGUGGCGAAGGCGGCUUACUGGACGGCAACUGACGCUGAGGCUCGAAAGCGUGGGGAGCAAACAGG
RNAcentral lists this ribosomal RNA (405 nucleotides) under uncultured bacterium. RNAcentral describes it as "bacterial SSU rRNA". It matches the Rfam family "Bacterial small subunit ribosomal RNA", at positions 355 to 776 of the family's 1533-position model. The record is from RNAcentral.